UUUUUUUUUUUUUUUUUUUUUUGUCUCCUAAGAGCCAUACUGUGAUAGGAUUAUUUAAAUUGACACAAUCUAUGUAGUAAUUCAGAAUACAGGAAAUAAUUGGUCAGCCCUAGUGCUGAAUUAAGGAGUGUGUCAGCUAUGCUGUUGUCCAGAGCUCCAAACUAUAAGAUGCUCAAUAUCACAGGAUGUAUCAUUUUAAAGAUGGAGAAAAUGUCAUUUACCAGAUUUCUUGGUUGAACUUGAUAUCUUCUGAUAAGCUCACUGGCAUGAGAGCUGAGUUCUCUGAAGACAUGUUUGAGUUAUAAUUGAGGGUUACUUAACUGGUUUUCAAGGAGGUGGGUGCCAUUAUCUAUAGGACUUGUGUUUGCUGGAUAGGAUGAGCAUGACUGAGCAAGACCUGAACUGAUUAGGGCAAUAAAGGACCAGAAUUGCUGCUGGCCAACUUUCCCAGCCCCUCUCCAACUAACAGACACAUAUUUAGGGCAUGUUUGUUUGAAGGGGCAUAAAAUUAUUAACCUUCCUAGGGUACUAUACUGUCCUUUUUUGGCCACAUCUGGAGAGGUGUGCUGAAUUUUAAGUAUAGCAUUUUAAGAUUGACUUUUACAAACUAGAGUUUCCAAUGAGUGGUAGAGAAGGUUGACAUAGUGAUGAGAAGUUGGUCAAUUAUGUGACACAAGGGUUGGAAGAACUAAAGAUGUUUGAGCCAAGAGAAGACAAAGUAAUAGUCAAAGGAGUCACAUGUAAAUGGUGGAGUAAAUUUAUCUUAUUCUCUUAUUCUCUGGAUAUCAACUGGGUAUCCAGCAAUUCAAUCCAAUUUUGGCACUAACUACCAGGAGUUAGCUUCAGAUACCACAAGUUAAAGGAUCUCAAUUCCCAUAAGACUUCUCUCACUUCAGACAUCAAUAUCAGAUCCAAAUUUCUGGCUUUCUUGGCUAAAAAAUCAGAAAUUUCUACAUCUACCCCAUUUCAGUUUCCAUAAUUUGUUAGUAUGACACUCAGAACUCAGGAAAAUGCUGUACUUACUGUAACAACUUACUCUAAAGGACACAAAUGACCAACUAGAUGAAGAGGUCUGAAAUGGUCCUGAGUACACAAGCCUCUGUCUCCAUGGAGUGGGGGUACCCCAGGCUCCCAGCACAUAGAUUUGCUCACUAAUUUAGUAUCUCCCCAAACCCUGUCAUUUAUGGAUGUUUAUAGAGGUUUCACUACUUGGCAUGAUUAAUUAAUCAUUGGCCAUUUGUCACUGAACUUAAUCUCCAUCUACUCUCCACUCCCCAAGGGUCAGAGCAGCAGGACUAAAAGUCCAACCUUCUAAUGUUGGCUUGGCUUUUGAUUGGCCUCCAUCCUGAACCUAUCCAGGUGCCCCACCUUAAGUCACUCAUUAGCAUAAACUCAGACGUGAUAGGAGGCUCAGUAUGAAUAACAAAAGACACUCCUAUCACUCAUGACACUCCAGGGAUUUCUGGAGCUCUGUGCCUGGGCACCAGGGACAAGACCAAAUGUAUAUUUUUUAUAUACCACACUCUGAUGGUUAAUUGUAUGUGUCAACUUGAUUGGACAAAGGAUGCCCAGAUAGCUGGUAAAACAUUAUUUCUGGGUAUGUCAGUGAGGAUGUUUUGGAAGAGAGUCAUUUGAAUCCAUAGACUGAGUAUAGAGGAACCAACCUCAUCGUGUGGUCUGGCAUCAUUCAAUCCCUCAAGGGCGUCAACAGAACAAAAAGGUAGAGAGAGAGAACUCUCACUCUCUUCCUGAGCAGGGAUGCUCAUCCUCUCCUACCCUUGGACAUUAAAGUUCCUGGUUCUUGGGCCUUUGGACCAUGAGAUAUAUACCAGCAGAUCCCUGAUUCUCAGGCCUCUUGAUAUAAACUGAAUUAUACCACUGAUUUUCCUUGUCCUCCAACUUGGAGAAGGUAGAUGGGCGGGAACUUCUCAGCCUCCAACACCACAUGAGCUAUUUUGCAUAAUAAAUCUCCUCCUUUAUUUAUCUACCUAGCCAUCCUAUUGUUUCUGUUUCUAGAAAAGCCUGACUAAUAAGCACACUUACAUUAUCUUUGGCAUAAAUUAUUUGAUGGAAGUUUUAAGGAGGCAAGUUUUAAUUAAGCAUCAGAAAGGACUUCCUCAAAAUGAGAAUUCCAUUAGUUGUCCCUUGGGUAGUGUGAGACAAUGAGCUCUCUCAUUUCCAGAUAUAAGCAGAGGGAAGUUAAAAUUGUCAGAGUUACAGAGAUUCUCCUUUUUUUUUUUUCUUUUUAGGGCCACACCUGUACCUUAUGGAAGUUCCCAGGCCAGGGGUCAAAUUGGAGCUACAGCUGCUGACCGAUGCCAUAGCCACAGCAACGCAGGAUCCAAGAUGCGUUUGCAACCUACACCACAGCUCAUGGCAAUGCCAGAUCCUUAAUCCACUGAGUGAGGCCAGGGAUCAAACCUGCCUCCUCAUGGAUACUAGUUGGGUGUGUUACCACUGAGCCAUGAUGGGAGCUCUGAGAUUCUCCUAAAAAAAAAAAAAAAAAAGCAGAGUUCCUGUCAUGGCACAGUGGAAAUGAAUCUGACUAAGAACCAUGAGAUUUUGGGUUUGAUUCCUGGCCUUGCUCAGUGGGUUGAUCUGGCGUUGCCAUGAGCUGUGGUGUAGGUCGCAGACGUGGCUGGGAUCUGAUGUUGCUGUGGCAGUGGCUGUGGCUGUGGCAGGCAGCUAUAGCUCCAGUUGGACCCCUAGCCUGGGAACUUCCAUAUGCCACAGCUGCGGGCCUAAAAAGCAAAAAAAAAAAAAAAGUUAAGCCUCAAAACUUGGAGAUCUCCUUACCAACCUUAAUAUUCUAAACCAUAAAAAAAAUUCAAAGGGUUAGGAUUUACAUUUUAAAAGAGCAGUUCUUUUUAAAAUGUCAAAGUAGAUAUAGAUCACAUGGAGAAAUUUCAGGUUUUUCAGGUACCCUGCCAAAUAUCAAAAUGACACUGGGGGUUGUCCUCAGCCGCAAGCAUGUUGAGGGGAAAAAAAUACAUGGAGUCAGCAUUUCAGUUCCACAUCGUUGCUAUUGCUUCACCAAUCUCCACCCCCAACUUUGUAAACUCUUUCACAGGUUACUUGCAAACAAGCAAAGAGUUAGGUCUGGGGGAACCGUGAGUGAUGGCCCAGGAAAAUAUGACUAACAAGAAGGAGUGGAGAGACUCUCGCAUUCGAUGCAAACUUACUGGUCAAUGCUUUCUUUUGUCUUCAGAAAAAACUCAUUAAACUUGGUCAGAAGGUAUACUAGUAUACUUCCUAUGCUGUUUGUUAAGCCAAUAAUUCCUGUCCAAGAAUGCAUAUUACUAUGGGCAAAUCAAAAUCCAGGUUACCUUUGUUAAAAGAUAAACAGACAUGUUUAAAAUGUUAAGAAUUUUUUCUGAGCCAGCAUCGACUGUAAUCAUCAUCGCCAAAGGGUGAGAGCUUCACUGUCAGGAGGUAGGGGUGAGACUGAAGGGGGAGGAAGCAAAGCAAGGAAAUUACUUGAUGGGCUUUAGCUUUAAGCAUUUGCCUAAUGUAGAAAAGCCACCUUGGCUACUUGUGAUUGGAUAACCUGAGGCAUCUAUAGGAUCAAGUUUUGGUUUGCUUACAUCAGCUGCUAAGGCAUUGGAAUCAUCUCAAUCUAAUGUCUUCCUUGUUUUAUUAACACUUUCUACUUUUGUGGUCAAAUACCUUUGAUUAUUGGACCCACAAGCUGCUCCAGGGCAUCACCAAUCUUUAAUCAGCUCCAUUUUCAGAGUAGAAAAGUAGCGAAAUUGUUCUUCAGGGGGCAAGCUGACAAGAGUAUUGCCACCACUUGCUUCAAGAACAGAAGUGCACAUUAAUAGGUACUUAACAUGUCAGCCUAGAAUGACUUAUUGAUGAAACAAAAGACCUCUGUAUUUCCAAACACAAUGGUCACUCCUCUGACCACAUCUUGCUCAGUCUCUCAACAGCAUUUAAUCUAGCUCACCAGCCACUAUUUCUUGAGGUACUUUUGUUCCUUAGGCUUCCUUAAGAAAGGGGUGUGGCCCCCUUAUGGUAGGUUUACCAUUGUUCCAACUAUUCACCUUUUAUCCCUGUGAGAGGACGAUACCCCCAAGCUAGGUGGAACUAGCUUGAUGGAAAGUAAGAAGACACAGAGGACACAUCCCACCAUAAGUUUAAUAUAUGUAAUUCAGAACUUCCUCACAUCAUCUCCUCUAGCUACAGCUGAUAUCUGAAAUGAAUUUUCAGAAUUUCUAACUUUUAUUUUAGGUCAUCGAUUUCUAUUGCGUUGCACAUCAUGUUGGGUGAAGAAAACCCUAAAAGGAAAAAGGGAAUUAACAUUUAUUGCAGAUCUAAUAUGUGACAAGUUCUGUCUUAGACCCUUUACAUGUAUCAUCUUAUUUCUUCAUCAUGAUCCCCUCAUUAUUCCCAUUUUACAGAUGGGAAAAUGAAAGCUCAGAGAGUUUAAGUAAAUUUAACUCUUAGCAACAGUCAAACAGUUACUGGGAUUAGAAUUGAGUCUUUGUGUAUCCUAAGCCAUAGUUCUUUCUACAUUAUAAUGCUGGCUCCCUGCAUUCGUCAUGUAUACCUGGGUUAAAAUGAAGGUUAUAGUGGAAAAGAAAGGGCAGGAAGUUAGCAGAUGCCUCAUGGAUGAAACCUGUGGACCCAGGAUGAGGAUGGAAGUUGGUUAUAAUUAUUUAGAAUCCCAGAAGAUUAGAUCUGGAAAGAACAUAAGAUAUCAUGUGGUCCCAUCAAUCAUUUUUACAUGUAAUGAGACUGAAGCUCAGAAAAUGGAAGUAAUCUUUCCCAGUGUGGAAGGAUAAUUAUUUUAGACAUAAUGUUGUUGCAUGCUAAUACAUUAAAAUAUAGUGUAAACAUAUCUUUUACGUGAACUGAUAAAUCCCCAAAUUCGUGCAAAUCACUUUAUGGCAAUAUUCCCUUUAUUGCAAUAAUCUGGAACUAAACUUGCAAUAUUUCCAAAAUGUGCCUGUUUAUAGAACAUACUAUUUUCAUGUCAAAGAGAAAAGUAAGGGGAGCUAUGGAAUCACAGAGCUAGAUGGACAUCAUGUCAUGUCUGCUUAUCUUUCAUUGGCCAAAGCUAAGCCUGACAUCAUUGGUGGCAGAAAAUAUACAUUUUUCACAAAGGAGUUUGGCAAGUCAUGUAGCAGUGGAUGGGAUGUGUAACUCUCUUGUAGAAAGAGAGAGUAAAUAAUUGAGAACAAUAGCACAACCUACCACAUAUAUUAUUUGUGUUUCAUUCAUAGUGAACUUUGCUGUUCCCAGUGAAGAUGGUAGCCCAUUGUUGCGUUUGCUUGCCUCAAGAAGGGCUUGUGGUGCCAAGAUCAAGCAUAACUUGAUGGGUUUGCUUUUGGAAGGCCAAAGCUAUUGAAAUGUCUCUGGAGGACAGUAGGUGAGGAGAAAGAUCAGAAGGGAAGAAGAUGUGAGAGUUAUGGAAAGAUAUUUUAUUCCUCAGGCUUGAAAAGGGAAGAGGUUUUUUUUGGGAGGGGCAGCAAACAGAGAUGAACAUCUGGUCUCAAGAGUUGCAUAAGAUCUUAAGGGCCUUCCCAGCAGCCUGAGAUGGGGCAGAGGGGGACCCACUGUAACAUUAAACUUACUACCAACCCAGUAAUACAGGGAGCAGAAUACACUUUAUUUAAAGAAAUAAAAUAAGUGAGACGUUUUUCCAUCUCACAUUAUGGAAUAAAAUUUAUCAAGACCUCACAGCUAGUAAGGGACAAGGCAAUUCCUUAUACUUUCCUUCAAACAAAUGCUCAUCAUUUUCUAAGCUAGGCCUAGAGUUGCCAUAACAAAGCACCAUGAACUAUGUGGUUCUGACAAUAGAAAUUUAUCAUCUCAUAGUUCUGAAGGUUGCAAGUCUAAGGUCAAGGCAGGGCCCUGCUCCCUCUGAAGGCACACAGGAAGGAUCUAUUUCAAGCCUCUCUCCUAGCUUCUGGUAAUUCCUUUGCUGUGGCAGUAUAACUCCAAUCUUCGCAUGUGUUCUCUUUCUCCCCGUAUGUGGAUCUGUGUCCAAAUUUCCCCUUUUUAUAAGGACAUGUGUCAUACUGGAUUAGGGACCCACUCUACUCCAAUAGGUCCUCAUCUUAACUAAUUACAUCUACAAUGACCUUAUUUCCAAAUAAUGUGACAUUCAUUUGGGUUAAGACUUCAACACAGGAAUUUGAGAGGGACACAAUUUAGCCUACAGUACUCCCUGAGAGGCCCUGGGAUGUAAUUGUCACUGAGACAGUUAUGGGCCUUGACCUCACAGAGUCAACCAUCUAAGGGAGGACAGGUACUGAGUGUGAGUGUGAAGCAGAUUCCAGGUCUUUCCAUUUCAAUUUCCUGUCUCUUGGCCAUUAAGGCUAGUCAACUAAAUGAAUACCAGCAACAUUUUGGGGAUAUUGAUAUACGGUGUGUAUUUCAAGCAAGUUGUUAGAAGAAAAAUAAAGAGUUGGCAUG
RNAcentral lists this long non-coding RNA (6420 nucleotides) under Sus scrofa (pig). RNAcentral describes it as "lncRNA (ENSSSCG00050042753.1)". Lineage: Eukaryota; Metazoa; Chordata; Mammalia; Artiodactyla; Suidae. The record is from RNAcentral.